Molecule: long non-coding RNA, 4029 nt
Organism: Talpa occidentalis (Iberian mole)
Lineage: Eukaryota; Metazoa; Chordata; Mammalia; Eulipotyphla; Talpidae
Exons: 6
Source: RefSeq, a predicted model, not a curated record
UUUUUUGGUCCAUUUUUGUCUGAAAACUCACUGUUUUGGUCAUAUUCCAUUUUGUAAGUUGUCAAACAGGCAGGAGGCAGUCUUCUGGAAUACUCUCCUGAUUGCUCCCUCAACAUAAAGAUGCAGGCUUUUCCAUUCUAGCUCUAAGGAUGGUUCAGUGUUGCCUCUGUUCUUACUUUGGACAUCUUUUUCUUGAGGAACAACCAAACUCUUCUGAGAUGGUGAUGAAGAGAAAAGGUAGAAUUUAAUGAGCUCUUACUCUGUGCCAGGUAUAAUUGUAAACCUUCAUCUGUGUUAACUCACUUAAUGGUCUUACCAGCCGUGUGAAAUGUAGGUACUGUGACAUUUUCAAAUACAGCACAGAAGCCCUCGCACCCGCACCUACAGACAGCCUGUCCCUAGCCUUGGCACCUGAUGGGCCAUCUCCUGCUCUCCAUCCUGCUGGAUGAUUUUUCACUGUAACGCGAGGUCCAGAGUUUAAUGGCCUGACUGAGGUCUCGUGGCCAUCAAGUGCCAGGUGUGGAGACCAGCACUGCCUCUGGCCUGACUAGUCUGGAGCAGCUGCGGUGGAGGACAACACGGGACCUGUACGGGUCAUCCUCUGAACUCAAGUGCAGCACCAGCGUGACUUCCUGAAGAGACUUAGUUCUCGCUCCUGUCUCCCUUGCACGCUGCCUCUCCCAGUCCAGUAUCUGGCCCGGGGACACGUCCUGGAAGAGUUCCGUAAUGACCUGCCAGUGUGGUCACCAGAGCCCGAGCAGAGGACCGCUCCGAGGGUAACAACCAUCCUUUUUGGCACUUUGAAGUAUCUUCUCCUUAUUGAAAUUCUCUCAACAUAGCGUGCGCCUGACCUCAGCAAGCAUCUGUGUGAUUGCUACUGUGACCUCUAUCAGGUGAUUGGCUUCAUUAAGGUCUGUUUGUGCAGUUUUAUCUUACUCUCUUACUGGGGACAUAUCCCACUGUUCAUUUUCCUUGACUUGCUAUUUCUGUGCAUCUAGGACAGCUGCCUCCAUGUUGACAAGGUGCUCUUGUGUAGGAGAUGAACCUACAGUCAGCAUGUCCCAAGGGCUUGUUGCCUCUCAAACCUUUGUGACUUUUUAGGCUGCCUCCUUGGCGCUUCCCAGCAGCCGAGGGCGCGUCGGCACCAUGACGCAGGUGACUGGAAUCCAGACCCUCAGACAACAGCUGGGAAAGUCUGUUCUUACCCCUCCUUGGGACAGACACGGAGAUCGGCGAUUUGCCGCCUCCCUCUGUGCUCAACCAGUUAUAUGGCUGUGGAGGGUGCUCCUGUGGAUACUAAAUUCUUCAUUUGCUAGCCCUGCAGACUAGAGACUGUAAUCCCUGUCAGCACCAGGUGACCUUGGGUGGCAGCCACAAAAGCUGGUGUGCCAGGUGUGUGUACAAGCUUCUUCCAGGGAGAGGCUCCCAGGCUGACCUGGCCUUCUGGGAUGAUCUCAGCCCUAGAGUCAUGGUAAACUAGAAGCUUAACCCCAGGAAGCAGCUUUUAAAGUCUGCAAAAUACCCCUUUCAGGGAAAGACUGGGAGCUGGGGCUGUUCCCUCUGCUCCGAGCCCUAGGAGAAUGGCUUUUCAGAACUGCCUUUGUGUGCACUGGGCUGGGGACUCGGGAAGGCAAGCCUGCUGGCUGCAUGCCAGGCUGUCUGCGGACUGUCCCUCAGGCCGCAGUUGUGAAAGCUGGGGUGCAGACCUGUGUAUGGCUCCUUCCUGGGAGAUGCUGGGGAUUUGGACUGGACUAGAGGGGUGAUUUGGACUGGAGGCAGUGUAAACGCUGGCCUCGCCAGUCUGAGGGUGGCAGUGAGCCACAGAUGUGUGCUAAAUUAGAAGUCUGACUUUCUGGCAGCACUUUUUAAUGUAUGCCAAUAGGCCCUUUUUGGUGAAAGACGAACUUAAUGAGUCCUGUAGAGCAGCUUAAGAGCUGUUUGGUAGAGCUUUGUGGGUGUUGUGGAUUCAAGGCCUGUUGGCUUUAAGAGCUGGGUGUUGGGAGGCCCACCUCCAGGAGGGAUUCUUAAAAGUUGAGGUACUAGAUAUGGGAUCCAAAUCUUUUAUUCUCCAGGGGGAACAUGGGAUGUGGGCAUGCCCUCCCCAGUGGUACGGCAUCGUGCAGCAGGUGAGGGCUAGGGCCAGCGCGUCUCUCUUCGUACUGUUUCUUGCUUGUCUUCUACAUAAUAGCUCAGCUAGCUUUGGGUCUCUUUCAGAGGGAAUUACUCCGUGUGGAAUGGUACGUUUGGGUGUGUCCAUAGGAGGAGGGGAUUGCAAGAGCCCAUGUCGCCAUCUUGGACCAGAACCCCCAGGUAAUAUCUUAACACUUUCUAGUACAAGGUAGGUAGAUACAAGGCUUUUGUAUUUCCAAAAGCCUGUCUUUCUUAAUUCAUUGUAUACUUCAUUUUCCACCUUGGGAUUUGAUAGCUUCAUUCAUUCAUUUUUCCAGGCAACAUUACUUCCUAUAGUCUUAAUACUCCACAUCCUGGCAGAGUUCAUUUAAGAGGAAGUCCUUUUAUGUAGCACUUGGGAUGGCAGCGUCAUCGAGAAUGCCUUGUGCGCAGACGCGGAAGCCAGCCGGCCCGGAGGAUCUCGUGCUCCCACCUCCACAGGACUCCGUGGGCCGGCAAGCGUCAGUCUUCCCCAGGUGUGCGUGAGGCCUGUGAUCCUCAUUCAGCUGGAUGCUCCACAGUGACAGAAGCUGGCCGUGACCGUGGAAGCUCACUACAGAGCGCCACAUGCUGACAGAAAGAGUUGGAUAAAAUCCAGAUUACAGCGGUUCUCUUCCAGUUCAUCUUGAGCACCUGUUUCCACUUGCAUCAUUGAAAUUGGUUCUCAAGCAAGCAAAAAGAACAGAAAAUGCAGAAUCCACGUCACAUUACCUACAUGUGGUGCCAAGAUGGCCGAGCCGAACUUCCUGCCAUCUAGAUAUUUGCAGGCGUGGGGUCACUCCCAAAAAAGCAAGCUCUCUGACUCCCACGCGCGUCACCGACAGGACCAGGUGAAAUGGCUGCGCAGUGGUGACUGGUCAGUUCAGACAAAGCGUCUGCAGAAGAGCUUUCUCACGAGCCUCAGCCCUCGGGCCCCUGGCGGAGCGCAGGUACCUCGUUGGUGUUGCAGAUGUUUUCCAGAGCGGAGCCACAUAUCCUUCCUGGGAAAGCACUCCAGGGAAUGAUACCUGUGGAGCGAAGCACAGGGCAGCAAAGGAGCAUGCUGAAGCAAAUACACUGUUCCUUCAGAAGACUCGGCCCCGAUCACCGUGAAACAGACACCCACGUAACCCUUCGGCCCUGACACAUGCGCGAGAAGAGGAGAAAGGCAACAGGAGACAGAAGGAGGUACCGUAUUGCCGCACAUCCACGCAGAUCUGCUCCACGCUGGCCGUGCCGUUGGUCUGGGGAGACUUGAUGACCUCACAGGUGGCCCAGAUGUUGUGGAACAUGAACACGGGCACGGCAGAGAAACCAAACACGCCCAGCCAGGCCACUCCCAGCACGUAGGUGAGGAAGACGAACUACGAUGGAAACGAGAAGGAUUGUCAGGACAGGGCCCGGAGGACGAACUUCAGCGGACACCAGCCCCAUCGGCCGCACUCGGCGCCGUGCGUCCCGGCAGGUACCGGUGCGGGAGAAGCCAGGGGCAGGGUGCUCCCCUCCAGAGGGACAGCGUGGACAACGCCCACAGCCGAAGCUGCCUCGGAUCCCUUUCAUCAAAAGCCCAGGACCUGAGGCCCGAGAGCGGGUCUCGCCUGGCCAGAGACUGACUAGCGCGGGGCUCCCAGCGCUGCUUCCCCAGCAUGAGUUGGGAGAACUCGGCAUGGUUCUUCUGGCGCACUGGGACUUCAUUUCGUGAACGCCCCGAGUGCACAGCGUGGGUGGCGCACCAGCGACUGCUGCGGGAAACGUGACCCUGUGGCGUUAUUGUUAGAUGCUUGAACUUUUGUUAAAAGUGUAGCCUUCAAUAAAGUUUAGCCUUGAACACGCUUUUAACGCGCAGUGAGUCUGGCAAGACUCUCCUUUUCCUCUGCUUGU